Molecule: ribosomal RNA, 479 nt
Filed under: uncultured bacterium
Lineage: Bacteria
Description: bacterial SSU rRNA
Rfam family: Bacterial small subunit ribosomal RNA
Source: RNAcentral
GACGAACGCUGGCGGCGUGGAUUAGGCAUGCAAGUCGAACGAGAAAGUCGGUUUCGGCCGAUGAGUAAAGUGGCGCACGGGUGAGUAACGCGUGGAUAAUCUACCCUUUAGUCCGGAAUAACUUGCCGAAAGGUGAACUAAUACCGGAUGACAUCCCGGGUUCUCCGGAAACCGGGAUCAAAGAAGGCCUCUGCUUGCAAGCUUUUGCUGAAGGAUGAGUCCGCGUACCAUUAGCUAGUUGGUGGGGUAAUGGCCUACCAAGGUUAUGAUGGUUAGCUGGUCUGAGAGGAUGAUCAGCCACACUGGAACUGAGACACGGUCCAGACUCCUACGGGAGGCAGCAGUGGGGAAUAUUGGACAAUGGGCGAAAGCCUGAUCCAGCAAUUCCGCGUGGGUGAAGAAGGUCUUCGGAUUGUAAAGCCCUUUCGACGGGGACGAUGAUGACGGUACCCGUAGAAGAAGCCCCGGCUAACUUCGUG